GUCUACGGCCAUACCACCCUGAACGCGCCCGAUCUUGUCUGAUCUCGGAAGCUAAGCAGGGUCGGGCCUGGUUAGUACUUGGAUGGGAGAAGCUGCUAUUUCUUCAGGGUAUAUGUGAAACUUGAAAGGUCUUGGCC
This 137-nucleotide ribosomal RNA is filed under the name Panthera tigris altaica (Amur tiger). The record is from RNAcentral. Lineage: Eukaryota; Metazoa; Chordata; Mammalia; Carnivora; Felidae.